Molecule: ribosomal RNA, 517 nt
Filed under: Alteromonas sp.
Lineage: Bacteria; Pseudomonadati; Pseudomonadota; Gammaproteobacteria; Alteromonadales; Alteromonadaceae
Description: bacterial SSU rRNA
Rfam family: Bacterial small subunit ribosomal RNA
Source: RNAcentral
CCAUGCCGCGUGUGUGAAGAAGGCCUUCGGGUUGUAAAGCACUUUCAGUUGUGAGGAAAAGUUAGUAGUUAAUACCUGCUAGCCGUGACGUUAACAACAGAAGAAGCACCGGCUAACUCCGUGCCAGCAGCCGCGGUAAUACGGAGGGUGCGAGCGUUAAUCGGAAUUACUGGGCGUAAAGCGCACGCAGGCGGUUUGUUAAGCUAGAUGUGAAAGCCCCGGGCUCAACCUGGGAUGGUCAUUUAGAACUGGCAGACUAGAGUCUUGGAGAGGGGAGUGGAAUUCCAGGUGUAGCGGUGAAAUGCGUAGAUAUCUGGAGGAACAUCAGUGGCGAAGGCGACUCCCUGGCCAAAGACUGACGCUCAUGUGCGAAAGUGUGGGUAGCGAACAGGAUUAGAUACCCUGGUAGUCCACACCGUAAACGCUGUCUACUAGCUGUGUGUGCCUUUAAGGCGUGCGUAGCGAAGCUAACGCGCUAAGUAGACCGCCUGGGGAGUACGGCCGCAAGGUUAAAACU